Molecule: ribosomal RNA, 467 nt
Filed under: uncultured bacterium
Lineage: Bacteria
Description: partial 16S ribosomal RNA
Rfam family: Bacterial small subunit ribosomal RNA
Source: RNAcentral
GACGAACGCUGGCGGCGUGCUUAACACAUGCAAGUCGAACGGAAAGGCCCUGCUUUUGUGGGGUGCUCGAGUGGCGAACGGGUGAGUAACACGUGAGUAACCUGCCCUUGACUUUGGGAUAACUUCAGGAAACUGGGGCUAAUACCGGAUAGGAGCUCCUGCUGCAUGGUGGGGGUUGGAAAGUUUCGGCGGUUGGGGAUAGACUCGCGGCUUAUCACCUUGUUGGUGGGGAGUGGCUUACCAAGGCUUUGACGGGUAGCCGGCCUGAGAGGGUGACCGGCCACAUUGGGACUGAGAUACGGCCCAGACUCCUACGGGAGGCAGCAGUGGGGAGUAGUGCACAAUGGGCGGAAGCCUGAUGCAGCAACGCCGCGUGCGAGAUGACGGCCUUCGGGUUGUAAACCGCUUUCGCCUGUGACGAAGCGUGAGUGACGGUAAUGGGUAAAGAAGCACCGGCUAACUACGUG